RNAcentral lists this unclassified non-coding RNA (315 nucleotides) under plant metagenome. RNAcentral describes it as "partial contains 5.8S ribosomal RNA, internal transcribed spacer 2, and large subunit ribosomal RNA". The stretch from base 1 to 105 matches the Rfam family "5.8S ribosomal RNA", at positions 50 to 154 of the family's 154-position model. The record is from RNAcentral.
GAACUGCGAUAAGUAAUGUGAAUUGCAGAAUUCAGUGAAUCAUCGAGUCUUUGAACGCACAUUGCGCCCCCUGGCAUUCCGGGGGGCAUGCCUGUCCGAGCGUCAUUGCUGCCCUUCAAGCCCGGCUUGUGUGUUGGGUCGUCGUCCCCUCCGGGGGACGGGCCCGAAAGGCAGCGGCGGCACCGCGUCCGGUCCUUGAGCGUAUGGGGCUUUGUCACCCGCUCGAUAAGGACCGGCCGGGCGCCAGCCGGCGUCUCCAACCUUUUUUUCUCAGGUUGACCUCGGAUCAGGUAGGGAUACCCGCUGAACUUAAGC